This 2960-nucleotide long non-coding RNA is filed under the name Malus domestica (apple). Its description in RNAcentral is "long non-coding RNA (MDOM_LNC020455)". Lineage: Eukaryota; Viridiplantae; Streptophyta; Magnoliopsida; Rosales; Rosaceae. The record is from RNAcentral.
UAAAGUGUUUAUAGCUUGCAUAUGUAUUCAAAUGUUCAUACUUGUUCUUAGCUAGGACAAAAUUUUUCCUUCAAGGGAUCGUUCUAGGCUAGGGAUUAGGAGGGAUGGCUAACACUUGAAACUGACUUAAAAACGUAAAAUUAAGUUUAAAACACUAAACUAGACUCAAAGAAUUCAAAACAAACUCAACGAACUCAAAACAAGCUAAAAACACUCAAAUUUGCCUAAAAACACAAAUGAACCCUCAGAUUUUCCAGUUGCUUUUCAAUAAACUACGAAUUCUCAACGCCCCAGAUUAACUGUGAAUUGCACUAAUUAACCCUCAGAUUUUCCUAAUUUCAUUGAAUUGGAUGAUUGCAUACAACAACCCAAAACAUUCCCCACAAGUUCCCUAUAUGAAUUGUGAUGUGAAAAUUAUGUUGACACACAAAUUAACCCUCUUUUUAUCAAUUAUAGCAAAGUAUGUAAGUAGGGAUCGUUCUAAACCGGGGAUUAGGAGGGAUUGCAAAAUCACUUGAAAACUGACUCAAAUACGUAAAAACAAGUUUAAAACACUAAACUAGACUCAAAGAAUGCAAAACUAAACUUAGAAACACCAAAACAAACGAAAAAACUCAAAACAGCCCAGAAACACUCAAAACUGCCUUAAAACCACAAUCUGGGCAGUUUUGAACACUAGACACAAACUUGGACGAAAAUUGGUUUUCACUUGACCUAAGACACUUAAAAACACAAACUAAAGUGAUUUCUAACUACUAUGACUCAACCAAGUAAAGGGGGAUUGAUUUUGGACGAAUUUAACUUUUAAAACAAGAAUUUUGAAAACACACUUGACAAAAACGUUUUUAGGUAAAUUAAGAUGGUGAAAGGCUAGAAGGUUCCUUCUCCACACAUGAAACAUAUGCAUACGACUCGAUUUCCAAUUACUCUUUCAACAAACCAUGAAUGACAAUGCCCCAAAUUAACUAGAUUGCACCAAUUAAUUCUCAGAUUUCCCUAGAUUCAUUGAAUUGAAUGGGAUACGCAUUACAACCAAAUUAUUCUUAUCAAGGACCCUAACUAUGGAAUACGCAUGAUAGAGACACAUAUCAAAGAUCAUUAAGUUCAAUGGAAAUCAUAAGCAUUGACGAGGCAUUCAUAACUAUGGGAUGCGCAUGUUACUCUUGCCUAGGAUUUACUUAACACAAUCGUGACUAGCGACUUUUACUACUUAUGAAUAUAAGUUAAUGACGAUUAGGUGAAAUUCCCUUAUAUUCUAGCAUCAAAUUCAUGCAUGCAAACUAAGUGUCGACCCUCAAUCAACAUACAUAAACAUGUUAUCAAUCAAAUAGAUAAGUAAACCACAUUCACGAUUUAUGAAAUCAUAAUUGGAAGAAAUCAAGUCAUAUAAAACAUAUGAUCAUGGCUUUGAAUUCCCCUCUAACUAUAAAGAAAUUAGUUCCUCAUGUUCGCAAAUAAACAAAGAUAAAUAAAUUUAAACAUUAAAACAAAGAUAGAAAACACCUAGAAUCGCUCCACAAUCCAAGCUCCUUGAAUGGCAUGCACGGCUCCAAGAGUUCUUCCUUCUUUUCCUUGCAAACUCACGGCACAAUGAGGGAUGUUUGGGUGAAUGGUGUAGUGAAAAUAUGGUAGAGGAUGGUGAAUCAAAAGGGUGCGGCAUUAUGUGGUAUUUAUAGGCUGAAAAUCCCACUCCUAGAUAGCCAAGGACAAGGUUUUAAAGGCCUAAUCUGCAUAGAAUAAUAACAUACAAUCCUAUAAGGAAAACAAGUCAAAAACCCAAAGGGAUUGGGAGAUAAGGUGCGGCACAAAGAGUGUGAAAAGAUAAGGCUUCUAGAAAACCAAAAUCCCAAGGGAAAUAGGUCUAGGGUGCGGCACAUAGCUAGGGUUCUAGAAAGAAGUACAAGGCAGAUUUUUAGGCUUCUAGAAAGGUUCCUAGGCGCCAACUUUGUAGGAUAAGAUUAGGUCUUCUAGAAAUCCCAUUUUAAGCAUCAUAAUCUAGUUAGAAACCCUCCUAAGUGGCUGGAAUGUGGAUAGUUUAGGAUUAGGAUAAGAUAAGAUAGGAUAAGGUUUGUUUGGAUAAGAUAAGCUAAGAUAAGGUUAUGGAUGAGGUUUUGGAUAAGAUCCUUAUCUUGAGCUGAUUCUUUGGCUUUAACUCUUCUUCUUCAUGUAGGAAUACUUGCUUGAGUAGGAAACUUCAUUCGUCUAGGAAUCCAUCUUCAAUUAGGACUCCUACAUUGAUUAGGAAUCCUUCUUCAUUUAGGAAUCCUUCGUUUAAGCCCUUUCCUACUUCAACUAGGAAACUUUGUAUCUUCAAUUCUUCAACUUUGAAACGCCUUCCUAGCCUCAUCAAUCCCUCAAAUUCGUCCAUCCCUUGUGCUUCAUGUGCAUGAACUCCAUUUUAGCCCAAUUUUGCUCCAAAAUGCUCCAAAUUGCAUCUUUUUGCUCACUUUGUCUCUAAAACCUGAAAACACAUGAAAAUAGCUUAAAAGACUAACUUAACUAAGAAAACACAACAUAAAUGCAUAAGAACUAACUAACUAAGGCGCAUAAAUAUGCUCCUAUCAAAUUGCAUAAUAGAGAUAAAAGCAAGAAUCAUUAAGUUCUAUGAAAAUCAUAAGCAUUGAUGAAACACUUGUAACUAUGAAUUGCAUGAAACUUAUGCCAAGAAUUUACUUAACACGGUUGUGACGAGCAACCUUCACUACUUGUGAAUAUAAGUUCAUAAUGAUUAGGUGAAACUCCCUUAUAUCCUAGCAUCAAAUUUAUGCAUGAAAAUUAAGCGUGCACUCUCAACCAACAUACACAAAUCGGUUUUAAUUCAAAUGGAUAAGUAAAUUGAAUUCACAACUUAUGAAUCACAACUGAAAGUAAUCAAAUCAUAUUGCAAGCAUGAAAAUGGUUUCGAAUUCCCCCCUAGCUAAGGGGGGUUUAGUUCCUCAUACUCACAAAGCAAAGAUAAA